AGAAUCAACGCUGGCGGCGUGCCUAACACAUGCAAGUCGAACGCGAAAGGGGAGCAAUCCCUGAUUAGAGUGGCAAACGGGUGAGUAACACGUGGGUGACCUGCCUUCGAGUGGGGGAUAACCUUCCGAAAGGAGGGCUAAUACCGCAUGACAUACCGUGUUUGGAUACACGGAUAUCAAAGCCGGGAUCGCAAGACCUGGCGCUUGAAGAGGGGCCCGCGUCCGAUUAGCUAGUUGGUGGGGUAACGGCUCACCAAGGCUCCGAUCGGUA
This 271-nucleotide ribosomal RNA is filed under the name uncultured bacterium. Its description in RNAcentral is "partial small subunit ribosomal RNA". It matches the Rfam family "Bacterial small subunit ribosomal RNA", at positions 26 to 285 of the family's 1533-position model. The record is from RNAcentral.